ACUCUAAAAAUGGCUGGGUUAUUUUUUAACCCAAAAUGCUGGGUUGAGUCUGUUGGGUUGUUUUGCUGGGUUAAUUUUUAACAUUUUAAACACUUUUUGGGUAGUUUCAGUUUUCUGGUUGUUGGGUUAAAACUGCUGGGUUAUUAUACUGGGUUGUUUGAAGAGGCUCACGUGCUUCGCGCCUUUGAUGUUUGAAUGUGCUCAGCAACGGUCGUCGUGAAAGGACAGAGUCACUGGAAGCAGUUGUUUCAAGAGAGUGCAGAGUUUUUAUGUCCAUCCAUUAAUGAGGCUAGCAAGGCCUUCAUACAACUUCAGCCAAUUGCAACAAAUGUGGUGGAAGUUCUUCUCUGGACAGAAUCCUCGAAACCCUUUCCUUUAUUUCCUGGCCAUGGGAAACAUGCAACAGAUCUCUCAAUCUUUUUUGUCUAUCAGUCUCUCUGAUGGAGCCAAUACGGAAGUGACUUAAACUGCAAUUCGGCCAAGAUGGCGACGGCACGCACCGCCUACUUUAGGCUUCAAAAAUGCUCUUCACAACCAAUGGGUGACAUCACGGACACUACUUUCAUAUUUUUUUACAGUCUAUGGUUUAAAGGCAUUUUACGUGCUUGAAAAUAAAUACCCCAGGCAAUGUGCAUCUACUGUAGUCUGUCAUUUUCCAAAUGGAUGAAUCCUCUGCUGUUCGGUUCCUUUGUACAUCUUUGUUCGUGAGGAGUAACUUUAAUAAAUGAAGUAUUUUUAGUCAAAUACAUUCCAUACUCUGAAACUUGGAACAUCUGUUCUGUAAAAAACUUUACACAUCUGUAAAUGAUUUUACUUUUAAUUUAACAAUUACAUUGUUUAUUUUCUUACACUGCUGCAGUUUUAUUUAUGUACAUUUCAGUAUUUCAUUUAUAUAUUGUAUAUACUUAUAUACAAAUUCUGUCUUAAAU
This is a non-coding RNA of Paramisgurnus dabryanus, 929 nucleotides long. The record is from RefSeq and is a predicted model, not a curated record. NCBI's taxonomy places the organism in Eukaryota, Metazoa, Chordata, Actinopteri, Cypriniformes, Cobitidae.